RNAcentral lists this ribosomal RNA (327 nucleotides) under uncultured bacterium. RNAcentral describes it as "bacterial SSU rRNA". It matches the Rfam family "Bacterial small subunit ribosomal RNA", at positions 28 to 334 of the family's 1533-position model. The record is from RNAcentral.
GAUGAACGCUGGCGGCGUGCUUAACACAUGCAAGUCGAACGAAGCGCUUAAACGGAUUUCUUCGGAAUGAAGUUUUUGCGACUGAGUGGCGGACGGGUGAGUAACGCGUGGGUAACCUGCCUCAUACGGGGGGAUAACAGUUAGAAAUGACUGCUAAUACCGCAUAAGCCCACAGAACCGCAUGGUUCUGGGGGAAAAAGGAGCAAUUCGCUUUGGGAUGGACUCGCGUCCGAUUAGCUGGAUGGUGAGGUAACGGCCCACCAUGGCGACGAUCAGUAGCCGGACUGAGAGGUUGAACGGCCACAUUGGGACUGAGACACGGCCCAG